Molecule: long non-coding RNA, 2269 nt
Filed under: Fragaria vesca (wild strawberry)
Lineage: Eukaryota; Viridiplantae; Streptophyta; Magnoliopsida; Rosales; Rosaceae
Description: long non-coding RNA (FVES_LNC002873)
Source: RNAcentral
UAUAUAUAUUAUAUCAAAUCAUCAACCAAAUCGAUCAACAUAUAUAUAUAUAUAUACGUCCAACAUACUCAAAAUCAAUCAACUCGAUCAUAACAAUAUUAUAUAUCAACAUCAUCAACUCAUAUAUAUCAUCAACAACUUCAUACCAUAUCAACACAUUAAUAUUAUAAAUUAAUUAACAUAUAUAAUUAUAUAUAUUUACUAUUUAUUAACAACAACUUAAUUCAUAUAUAUUAUCAAAUCAUCAACCAAAUCGAUCAACACAUAUAUAUAUACAUCCAACGUACUCAAAAUCAAUCAACUCAAUCACACUCAAAAUCAAUCAACUCAAAUAAAACUCAAUUAAUCAACAUAUAUAUACAUGUACGUACCUAUAUAUAGCUCCACAAACUAAUUAUGGACAGAUUUCGACAACACCCAAACUUUUUCUCCCGUUUUUCUUCUCCUGUUUUUUUUCCCAGAUGAGCUGCUACUGGCCAGAUCUGCAAAUAUAAAGCACUUUAACCGACGACAUAUUAAUUUCGUCAGCUAAACUUUUAAAUAUUUCGUCGGCCAUAGUCUGUGAACUUUAGCAGACGAAAUAAAUUCUUUAGCCGACGACAUCUUAAUUUCGUCGGCUAAAGUUUACCAUAGCCGACGAAAAUUUAAUUUAGCCGACGAAUGAAAAUUUCGUCGGCUAAAAUAAACUUUAGCCGACGAAAAAAUGGUUCGUCGGCCUGGUUUUUUUUUUUUCGUCGGCUAAAGCCUUUCUUCUGGUAGUGCUGGUUUCCCUCUACCAAGUGUUAUUCCAGCAAGUUAUGUUAAGGCGGUAAUCCGACCGACUCUUGUUGGGACCAAGAAGGGUCUUGAUAUGGAUAUGUGUACUUUUGGAAAGAGGGGACGUAGUGAAGACAAUGGGAUAGACAUGCAACAAUCUUUGGUGUCCUAUGAACUCUCCUUUAACCCUAAGAUGGUGUUGGCGCACUCUAGAGGACAAAUCACGGUGUAACCAGCUAAGAAACGUAAAGUUGGUCGUCCUAAAGGUUUUGUGUCACAUCCCGACCCUUAUAUUUUUACCUUAUUUACUAGCGUGAUUAUAAUAAGAAUUUUACCGUUUCGAUCAAUGAGUAAAUAGUUUAAUUGGUCCCUAGAGGGGUUUCGAGGACGAUUAUGUGCGGAUGAUUAUUCGUAUGAUGAAAAUACGACGACGGUAAAAAUAGUAAUUUUAGCUAGUAAAAGGUAAUUUUUAUUCGGGUAUUAUUUUUCGGGGUGUUUUUAUUUUUGGAAUUUGGGUUGAUAUAGGUUGGACCGGUUUGGGGUGUGAGGCCCAAACCCACUUUUCUUUCUCUUCCUCCCGAUUUCCUCUCCUCACCCGUCCCGCACCCGAGCCUCCCGCUGCCCGGUUUUCCGGCCGUCCUCCCGCCGCCGUCCGGCCGCCCCAGACCGCCGCACCGGUCCCGUUCGGUCGACCUCCAACCCAGCAACCUUCCUGGACCGGUGAGAGGAGCCCUAGCGCCGCCGUGAGUGAGCGGUGCCGCCCGAAAGCUUCGACUGCCGAAUUGGUUUUCUUGCUGGAACUUCCUCCUCCGGCCACCAAUCCGGGCAAGCUUGGUACGGUUUUGUAGCCCUCCUCCCGUACAACAACCCCUCCAAGUAGCUCCCUCCCUCUUGAGCUAGGUAAGGAGAAAUGUGGAGUUGAAAUUUCUAGGCUUUUAAGUUAUUUUCGUUCGAUUAGCCUAGUUAGGCUUGGAAUUGGGUGAUGUGUUGGUCAUGAAAGUUGUAGAGGAGAUUGAGAGGAAGAUUCUGUUAAAAUUUGGUAGCAUUUGCAGGUCGCCGGAAAACGGCUGCCGGCGGAGCCGCCGGCGGCGCCGCCGCCAGUUAGGAGAUUUUUAUGGUUUUUGAUGUAGAAUAUUAAGGGGAUAUUAUUGAAGUGAAUUAUGGAAUUUUUGGAUGAGAUUUGGAUAGGUUUGUGAAUUUCCGAAGUUUGGUAUUUUUGGCGGUUAAUUAAUGUAGAAUCCGGCCGUAGGAUUUAAGUCGUAUUUUGGAGAGGUGGUAUUUACGACUGUUGAGUAUGAUAUUUAAGUUCGGAUUGUUCCGAUGUAAGAAUAUCGAAGUUAGGCAAUGAUGAGCGUAUUAAUGGCUCUCGGGUAAUUUUGCCUAUUUUGAUUAAAUAUUGGAUAUUGGUUGGGAAAUUAAUAUUAUAUUUGGAACAGGACGUGAAGAGGCUCGAGCAGACGAGACCCCAGAUUGACAUCAGGCUUAGGCCUAAUUCGUGAGUGGACGUUUAUUU